RNAcentral lists this ribosomal RNA (465 nucleotides) under Vreelandella stevensii. Its description in RNAcentral is "partial 16S ribosomal RNA". It matches the Rfam family "Bacterial small subunit ribosomal RNA", at positions 338 to 795 of the family's 1533-position model. The record is from RNAcentral. Lineage: Bacteria; Pseudomonadati; Pseudomonadota; Gammaproteobacteria; Oceanospirillales; Halomonadaceae.
CCUACGGGGGGCUGCAGUGGGGAAUAUUGGACAAUGGGGGCAACCCUGAUCCAGCCAUGCCGCGUGUGUGAAGAAGGCCCUCGGGUUGUAAAGCACUUUCAGUGAUGAAGAACGCCUGGUGGUUAAUACCCAUCAGGAAAGACAUCACUCACAGAAGAAGCACCGGCUAACUCCGUGCCAGCAGCCGCGGUAAUACGGAGGGUGCGAGCGUUAAUCGGAAUUACUGGGCGUAAAGCGCGCGUAGGUGGCUUGAUAAGCCGGUUGUGAAAGCCCCGGGCUCAACCUGGGAACGGCAUCCGGAACUGUCAAGCUAGAGUGCAGGAGAGGAAGGUAGAAUUCCCGGUGUAGCGGUGAAAUGCGUAGAGAUCGGGAGGAAUACCAGUGGCGAAGGCGGCCUUCUGGACUGACACUGACACUGAGGUGCGAAAGCGUGGGUAGCAAACAGGAUUAGAUACCCGUGUAGUC